UAUGCUACAGUAUGUGAGUACGUAAGUUUUUGGUGCUUGAGGAGGAGAGGGAGCGCUCUCCUAGUGUAU
RNAcentral lists this transfer RNA (69 nucleotides) under Pteria penguin. RNAcentral describes it as "tRNA-Gln". Lineage: Eukaryota; Metazoa; Mollusca; Bivalvia; Pterioida; Pteriidae. The record is from RNAcentral.